GCCUAGCCGUAACACACAAUUAAACUACCAAUUGCCCGCCAAACAACUACGAGUCAUACUUAAAACUUAAAAGACUUGACGGUACUUCAUCACGCCCUAGAGGAGCCUGUCUAAUAACCGACAAUCCACGAUUAACCCCACCCUUUCUCGCCCAACAGUCUAUAUACCGCCGUCGCCAGCUUACCUUGUAAAAGAAAUAAAGUAAGCUAAACAGUACUACACUAAAACGACAGGUCGAGGUGUAACCCAUGAAAGGGACCAAGAUGGGCUACAUUCUCAAACCAAGAAUACGAACAGCACUACGAAACUAAUGCCCGAAGGCGGAUUUAGCAGUAAGAUAGGGAUAAAACACCUAACUGAACAUAACGCAAUGAAGUGCGUACACACCGCCCGUCAUCCCUGCCACCACAACAAUUAAUCUUAAUAAACCGACCCCAAAUAACCAAGCAGGGCAAGUCGUAACAUGGUAAGUGUACUGGAAAGUGUACUUAGAAA
RNAcentral lists this ribosomal RNA (495 nucleotides) under Protobothrops kaulbacki. Its description in RNAcentral is "partial 12S ribosomal RNA". The record is from RNAcentral. Lineage: Eukaryota; Metazoa; Chordata; Lepidosauria; Squamata; Viperidae.